RNAcentral lists this unclassified non-coding RNA (320 nucleotides) under Hevea brasiliensis (rubber tree). Lineage: Eukaryota; Viridiplantae; Streptophyta; Magnoliopsida; Malpighiales; Euphorbiaceae. The record is from RNAcentral.
AUGCGCAAACUUUAGCAAUUUCUUGAAGUAACAAGGCUACCUUCUCUGCUAGGCUGGAAAAAUAUAUGAUGCAUUUGAAGAAGUUUGGUAGCAGCAGUGUUUGGUUGAAAUGUUUUAGUCUGAAAAUAGUACUGAUUGAACCUGCGGUGUUGGCUUGGUUGGCAAGUAGCUUUCAUUGCAAUUCCUGGACCAAUAAAAAAAGGGAGGUACUUUCCAUACUUGGGAAUUCCUUAUUCCCAGGAAAUUAGUCACUACUUGCAUUUCAAGCAAAUAUUUGAAUUUUUAAGGUGUCAGUACCUUUGAUAUUAGGAUCUCCCUCA